AAUAUGAUGCAUAUCAGGAUGUGUUUGGCAUCUGGAUAAGUUUUCUCUCUGCCAUUUUGGUGUCUCCAAAAUUGAGGGCUUCUGGUGAGAACCUGGAGGUUGGUCUGGACCGGGGCAGGAGAGCACGGGGCAGCAGCAGCAUCCAUGGCAGCGGGCAUGGGCACCUGGCACUGCUCUUGCCUCAAAUUCACCAGGAAUUAGCCAGGCAAAUUCUACUUUCAAGAUACAAGUGCAAUUGGCUGGCUGAUCUGCACACCCAGCUACCAAAAUCAUGUAUGUAAAUGGAGUAACCAUGCGGAAAAGCUUAUCUCGAAUCACCAUUUGCAGGUAAUAACCUGAUUUUGGCACAUUCACCAGCUGUAGUGCUGUGCACGCCUCGGUUUGCAGCAGGGCAUGUCCUGCUCCAGCAGCUCUGGCCGUCCAGGAAGGCGCCAGGCAGACAAGCACGGACAUUGUGUGUCUUGGGAAUGGCCAGCUGGGACAGAAACCUUCCCAAAUCCUGCUGGCAAUGCUGCCCUUGGCUUUUUCCAGUUGCACAAGGGUUGUUGGGGCAUGAUGGAAGCAGCACAGCAGCAUCAUCCCACCGGGCAGCGGGGUACAUGCGGACGGAGCACAGCCAAGGGAGACAUCUGCAUGCGAUAGCAGCAUUGGAAGUGGCCUGAACUUUCUGGAGGCUUUAAUGCUCCAAGAGCUGUAGAGUUGCUGCCCAGCCUGCAAGGUCCAUCCUUAGUGCUGGAAGGAUGGCUUCCAGUGCCUGCAUCCUUAGGCAUCAACCGAAGCAUGGACAGCCUUGGGAACUCAUCUUGUACGACGGGACCUGCUGGAACCAAGGAAGACCACGUGUAAGCUGUUUGUGCACAUGGAUACUGAGCUGCCGCCUUGCUUUACUGAGGUGAUGGGAAAAGCAUCUGAGCUCGGCUGUGCUGCCUCGUCCCGGAGCAGAGGAUAUGGAAGUACACCCAUUAAAACUGCAGGAUGGACCUGGGUGCAGGGAGAUAUGGGUCAGGUAAGGGGACAAGAUUUGGUCCUUUCUCCUAAGCUCAUCUGAGCUGUGUGGUCUUGGGGAAGUGAUAAAAGCUGGCUGGGAAAAUUUGUGAAAACAGAGUGGGGUUGUUUGGCUGCCCAGGGGCUGAAGUGCAAAAUGCAAUGUCAGAGCAGAGGAGUGCGCAAACACCUUCACUGCUGCAGCAUCCGAAGGGCUUGGGUGCAGGAGCGACCUUCUCUCCCUUGGCUGAGCUCAUCUGAGAGCAAAUGUCUUUAGUUCACACAUGACACAGCUCACCCAGCUCCCGUAAAUUCACAAGUGAGAGGGAGUCCCAUGGUGGAGGGACCCCGAGGGACCAUCCAAACCAUCCUUCCAGCAGCCCAGCCCUUGGCAGGGCAGGAACCUCUCCUGAACCAAGUUGAUGGAGAAGACUGGUCUUCAUUUCUGGAUUGACACAGCUUAGCAGAUCCAGCUGGGAUUCAUCAUAAGGUGACAGAGUAGUGCUGAGCACUGCGCUGAGGUCUGCCCACCUUGCCUGUGUUUUGGGCAGAACUGUGGCUGAGCAGGUGGUCUCUGCAGUGCAUAUACCCCCCUUGGAGCCCUUCCUGUGGUCCCUCUGCAGUGCAUAAAGGUGCUCGGAGCCCUCGUUGCUGUCCUCUGCGAGGGGUGAUCUCCCCUCUGCGCAUAGAGCAGAGGUGCCUGGGUGCCUCUCGCUGGUGGUGAUUCAGCCAAAGCAAACAAGCAUUGGUUGCCCUGCCCGGAGAGCAGCUGAGCAAUGAUAAUUACCUCUUUGUUUCCUCCUUUUGGAGUUAUUUGCAGCAGAAAAGCAUGUUUGCCUUUUUCUGUUUAUUCACACGGUCUGUUCUCAAGUGCUUGCUCUCUGUGCCUUCCUGCCUUUUAUUUGUGACCAGAGGAUGAGGAAGAUGAUGGUUUUUCCUCUCUGCUUCCCCCCUGGCCUGCCUAGGGUCCCCUCUGCCUGCCCAGCUGCACCAGUCUGGGCUUUACUGGGAAGGGAGCUGGCUGAUGAGUGCCUGCGAGACGGGGGCUGCUCUCUGCCUCUGUGUACAUCUGAUACACACGCCUGUUUUGUAUAAACUAGUGGACGCACGUGGGAGGUAAACAAGGCAAUCAGUCUGGCUCUGGGAAUCUGGAAGGGAAAAAAACCUUAUCUGCAAGGUGAGUGUGAAGAAAGUAGCUUGCUGAAUGCAGCCGCUGAGGACAGGGAGGGGACGAGGCAGCAGGUCCCCACGCACCCGACCCACGGGUGGGCAGCCGGCAGCAAAGGGUAUGGCAACACUCAUCGCCCUUGCAGGAUGCUGCGAUGAUGCUCUGGCUAAGAUAAAACCCCCACACAGCCAUCCUUGCCCCUUCCUCCACUGUUCCACCCCUCCUUGCCACUGCAGAGGGGCCUCUCACGUCCGUCGUUCCGUCCAUCCACAGCACAGUGCUGCUUUCCCGCAAUGCUGGGGGGGCACAAGGGUGCUUUGACACAGGGCAACGUUCACCGACCCUGGCCUGAAACAAACCCCUUCGAGUCCUGCCCAAGGUGACAAGCAGAAACGGAGCCUUUCCGUAGUGUUUGCUUUGCGCGAGUACACAAUAACGCUGUAACCUUGGGUUGUUUGAACUAGCCAGGAGUGUCAUUGCCAGCAUUAUAUUCAACAGUUGUACUUGACUGAAUAAGCAGAGGGGUUUUUUUUUUCCCCCUCCCUGUCAUAAUGGCCCUAUCCCACGGAGGGGUGAUGGAUUGCUUUUUCGGUUGCACAUGCUGUUAUCGCUGUGCUGUUCUAAUGCUAGUCAAACAUUAUUGUGAAUAGCCAAACUCAAUAGCAGCAGUGUUAGGCUGGAAAGUCAAUAUUGGCUGAGCAAACAAAGCAAAUAAAGAGUUGCUAUUUGCGUAGCCAUGAGUAUUUGUGUGCUCUGCUGCUGAACAGGGUACUUUGAAAUAAUAAUAAUAAUAAUAAUAAUAAUAAUAAUAAUAAUAAUAAUAAUAAUAAUAAAAUGUUGUUUCUUCAAGGCAGGGAAUGUUUUUUAUUUAGGGUAGAAGAGUCGGCUUUUAUUAAAGUUCACGUUUGCUUCCUUGAAAGCUGCGGCAGUGGCGCAGGCACGGCCACCCCUCUGGCGGCUCUCGGGGAGCAAAGCUGGGUGUGCGAGACGGCUGCUGGCGGUGCCGCCGCUCACGCUGGCACUGUCAGCUCCCCUGACCUUUAACACUGCAAGGAAAAGUGUGGGAAUCUGCCAAAGUGGCCAAGUGCUGAAGCAGCAAAUGAUAUUAAGUUAUCCAUUAAAAGGCAACUCUUCUCCUGGAGGAGCAGCUCCGUGUUUCGUCGAUGUCUCUUGGCAGACCCACACUUGCUCCUGCGAGGCACCUCUCUGCCCUGAGGAUGCUCCGUUGCCGCUGGGACAGGGGCCCUGCGUGGGAGCGCCUGCUUCGUUUGGAUUUAAUUUGCAUUUCCCUGUUUCUUGUUAACUUUCUGGCACUUCUCGAGGUUCACUGCGUGACCUUCUAAAUGACGCACGCCUAUUUAUAACCCGCUGUCUGUGGCCCAGUGCCACUUUGAGAAGCCCUGGAAAUGAACUCCAAUAAACCAUUCCUUCAUUAAUAUUGGAUACCCCAACGUACGCACCCAACGUGCAUGCUAAGGAGGGGAUGCCACAGCCCAGCUUCAUCCCAGGCUUGUUUCUUUAUAGAAAGCAUUGUUAAAUAUAGAUGCCGAGCUGGAUUAGCUCGGGGGCAGCAGGUCCUGACCCCACACUGCCCCUCUCCCCCCGGGACCCCUUCCCAGCUCGGGAUGCAUGUGCUGCUCUACUGGUUUAGUGUGUGUAGUGUUUUUCAUGCAAUUUCCAGCCCAGGAUGCUUCAGAGAGAUAAAUAAUACAGCUGGGGGAUUAAAUAAUUGAUUCCAAAGAAGGAAAGUAGCUGUGAGGCAUAGGCAAGAGAAUAUAUAUAUAUAUAUAUAUAUAUAUGUACACACACACACACAUAUAGUGGUUUUAGUAGAGCUGGAAGAUGAGGAGUUGAAGGCGAAGUGCAGGCUGCCUCUUUCUGGGAGGUGCGGAAAAGAGAGCUCUGGUGCUGGAGAGGGUGAAGAAACACCUGGAAGAGACGAGAUGGGGGUAAGGGCAGUGAGAGAUGUUCCUGCAGGUGCCAAUGGCUGAGAGCAUGCUCAUGCCUGGGACUCCUGCAGCCUCAGCUCGCAGAGAAGGAUGGUCGUCCUUGAAGAACCCAGGGCAAAGAAGAAAGGAAGGGGUCUGGGAGAUGUCCAAAAUCUGGAGGUUUUAUCUUCCUGCUGGUUUUGUGACUGGAGAGGCUUCUGGAAUCUGGGCUGCAGAAUCACUUUGCCCUUGGCCAAGCCAGGCACAAAGCCUCAGCAGAGCCGAGUGGGGAAUGGGCUGAGUGAGCCGAGCUGUGGUGCGACGCUGUCGUAGGUGAGCUCAGCUGCCCUCUCCUCGGCUGCCUGUGCCCUUGCAGCUGUGACGCUGGGAAGGGGGACCCAGCUCUUCCCCCGGGAAGGACAAACCAGACACCCCCGUGAUAAAUCCCCCCCAUGCCCACAGCUGCCCAAGGAUGAGAGCAUCCUCCCAUUGAAGUGAAAAAAAGGAAAAAUGCUGUGAGCAUACGACAGUUUGCGAAUGAGCAGGGGCUGGGGAUGAAGGGAAGG
Molecule: long non-coding RNA, 4646 nt
Organism: Cuculus canorus (common cuckoo)
Lineage: Eukaryota; Metazoa; Chordata; Aves; Cuculiformes; Cuculidae
Exons: 3
Source: RefSeq, a predicted model, not a curated record